RNAcentral lists this ribosomal RNA (531 nucleotides) under uncultured Hydrogenophilus sp. RNAcentral's name for it is "bacterial SSU rRNA". It matches the Rfam family "Bacterial small subunit ribosomal RNA", at positions 389 to 911 of the family's 1533-position model. The record is from RNAcentral. Lineage: Bacteria; Pseudomonadati; Pseudomonadota; Hydrogenophilia; Hydrogenophilales; Hydrogenophilaceae.
CAGCAAUGCCGCGUGGGUGAAGAAGGCCUUCGGGUUGUAAAGCCCUUUCGGCAGGGAAGAAAUCGGCGGGGCGAAUAACCCUGCUGGAUGACGGUACCUGCAGAAGAAGCACCGGCUAACUACGUGCCAGCAGCCGCGGUAAUACGUAGGGUGCGAGCGUUAAUCGGAUUUACUGGGCGUAAAGCGUGCGCAGGCGGCCCGUUAAGACAGGUGUGAAAUCCCUGGGCUCAACCUAGGAAUUGCGCUUGUGACUGGCGGGCUCGAGUACGGUAGAGGGGGGUGGAAUUCCUGGUGUAGCAGUGAAAUGCGUAGAGAUCAGGAGGAACACCGAUGGCGAAGGCAGCCCCCUGGGCCUGUACUGACGCUCAUGCACGAAAGCGUGGGGAGCAAACAGGAUUAGAUACCCUGGUAGUCCACGCCCUAAACGAUGGGUACUAGCCGUUUGGUGCGCGAUAGCGCUGAGUGGCGAAGCUAACGCGUGAAGUACCCCGCCUGGGGAGUACGGCCGCAAGGUUGAAACUCAAAGAAAUU